Molecule: long non-coding RNA, 2197 nt
Organism: Mytilus californianus (California mussel)
Lineage: Eukaryota; Metazoa; Mollusca; Bivalvia; Mytilida; Mytilidae
Exons: 2
Source: RefSeq, a predicted model, not a curated record
GAUGUCUAAAUUGGAAACUGUCGCGACGGGAAAAGGAGUUGAAAGAAAGAGAUCAGCCGAUGGUGCUGAGAAUGACAGAACAGCUACACCGUCACAAACAGAACUUGAUGUAGGGCCCUGAAUACAAAUUCCAACAUCUAAUGCACCAGGGCCAUCUACCAGUUCAGCAGAUUCGGCAAUUAAUGCAGAGUCUGUAAUGCCUGUGUGUCAUUCACUAGACAUCACUGAACAAGGAAAUAUAUCAACCACAGAAGAAGCUUUUGUCCAAGCUCAAACACCUGUCAAAUACAAUCUUCCUGUUUCUGUCACUUUGCGUAAACAGUUAAAGAAUUUAAGAUUGUCAAAAGAUGAAAGACCAUACCUUUAUGACUGUAUCAAAAUAAGCAAAAAACUACUGUUUGCCGACUUUAUGAAUGAACGACUUUUUAUUUGUAAUUUAGACGGCACUGAUAUCCAUCCAAUGCCUCUGUCUUGUGGACCUUGGUAUAUGACAGAAAUAGAUAGUAAUACUGUAGCAGUAUCCUGUACAAACGGCAGUAUCAUAAUGAUAAUAAAUAUAUCUUCAGGCUCUGUCACCAGCACAAUCAAAACCAGUGCUUUCUGCUUUGGAAUCUCAUAUUAUGAAAAUAACCUGUACGUUGUUAUUUAUCGGAGUAAACUACAUGUGAUGGACCUAACUGGUGAAGUAAUACGUACUAUAACUUUACCUUCAGACAGCAUCACCAACAUUACAGUAGACAGCGACAGGUUGGUCUGUAUAGACAAUGCAUCAAUAUACUGCUGCUCCUUAGAUGGAAAACUGAUGUGGCAGUUCACAAAUGAUAAAUUUCAAAAUUUACAUCGUGUGACAACAGAUUGUGAGAGAAAUGUGUACGUGACUGAUUUCUGUACGGACAAUGUAGUAGCAGUAUCUAAAGACGGUACACAUUAUAGAGAAAUUCUAACUGAAUCAGAUGGACUGGCUAGGCCGUGGGGAAUUCGUUUUGACAAAAAAGAAAAUUGUCUGUUUGUGUGUAAUGGUUUUGACGGAAAUGCCUUUUUUUUUUACGUAAAAAAGAAACUCGCGUAAAUGAAUAUGACUUAAUUUAUUCGGAUUCGGAAUUUGGUUUUGCAUUCAGUCAUUCAAAAUGCUUAGGCCAAAGACGUGUUGUUUACUUCCCCCUUCGGAAAAUCUUAAAAACCAUGAAAAUAUGUUUUCGGUGAACUUUAAAUUGCGAUGAAUUUUUAAUUUUGAACUAUAGAUGUCAUGAAAAAUAUCAUUUGUCUCGACAUAAAUAUAUUCUAUAUGGAUGGUUAGUAAAGUAGAACAAAUUUUAUACUUUUUUUGGUAUGCUGUCUCGCUGACGAUUACUCUUCGGCCCUUUUAUUCGAUAAUCCCCCCCCCCAUUUUCCACUAAACUUAUUAUCCCCCUUUUUAUCCCAAUAGACUUAAAUUAACUUAUCCACUUUUUAUCCUAGUGGACGUAAAGUAAGGUAUUAUCCCCCUCUUUAUCCCGGUAAAGUCAAAUAUACGUAUUAUAUUAAUUGAUUAUACGUCUCGUCCUUAAUAUGAAUGAUAUAUUUGCUAUACUCAAUUAACCAAUUAAUCAUAUAUAAUUAUAUGACUCUUCAAGAUUUCGUUCGUGUGUUUCUCCUUGUUAAUCAAAUAAAACACAUGAAUGGUAUAACAUGUGCAAAUAAUAAAGAUAUCCAAAGCAAAAGCAAGAUACGGAAAAAUCAAAAAUGGAUUUGACAAUUUAUCUAAAUUUUUGUAUUGGAUGAAAGUUUUAGUUUUAUUUUUCGACAUUUUAAAGAUUUUGGAAUUUUCGUUUUCUAUAUGUAUUUCCAUAUGUAUAUUCAAAGAAAAAGUUUUUCACCAAAAAUUCUACUUUUUUAAAAACAUGAAUAUGGCUCCAUUAAUAUUUUCCUAGAUUUAUCUAUAAAUCAUACUCCGUUAUAACAAAAAAAGCGAAAAUGACGUCAAGACAAACAAGUCCUGAAAAUACUGAAAAGAAAACAGACUGUUCAAUUCGAACCUUCAAAAAAAGAAUUAUACAAAAAUAGAUGAGCUAUAUUUUCAAUCAGCUAAUAUAUGAAAUUGUACUUUUGAGUAACGAAGAUAUAUUUUCUUAAUGAAAAUAUUUUCUGUUUAUUAUACACUGUAAUAUUGUAUAAUUGUGCAGCUGAUUUAUUAAACUUACUGUAUGCUGAAAAUAUA